Megalobrama amblycephala (Wuchang bream) is the source of this 459-nucleotide long non-coding RNA. RefSeq lists it as uncharacterized. NCBI's taxonomy places the organism in Eukaryota, Metazoa, Chordata, Actinopteri, Cypriniformes, Xenocyprididae. The record is from RefSeq and is a predicted model, not a curated record. The transcript is spliced from 3 exons.
CAACACUGUACUAACAUGUCUGGUGAAACAGCUGGAACCUUAUUGUUUACACUGAACCAAUAAAACUAGGAAAAGUUUGGGACUGGACCAAACCCGCUAUAUGAUUCGCCUAUGUUUAUUAUGCAAGAACAGUUUUUUGUCAAGAAACAAAACGGAAACGACAUGAUGAGAACGACCAGAGCAGGGGUUUUCAAACUUUUUGACGCCAAGGACCCCUUAAAAUAGGUACAGAGCUCCUCAGUACUUCACAACUAUGGCUGCACAUUAUGAAACUCCUUGUAACACAGAGAUUACACCAUAAUGGCCAGUCAUUGGAUUAUGCUAGUCUUUUUAUUACACUCCAUCCAUCAAAGGUAAUUAUAUUGAUCACAUACCUGGAAUAGGAUAUGCGGUUAAGAUGAAAUAAUGUUCAUGCUUUUGUGUAGCAUUUCAAUUGAUGGUGGUGAAAGCUUAUUAACU